This 23-nucleotide non-coding RNA is filed under the name Arabidopsis thaliana (thale cress). Lineage: Eukaryota; Viridiplantae; Streptophyta; Magnoliopsida; Brassicales; Brassicaceae. The record is from RNAcentral.
GUACCUCUUUCAAACAAAGCCUU